This 465-nucleotide ribosomal RNA is filed under the name uncultured Klebsiella sp. RNAcentral's name for it is "bacterial SSU rRNA". It matches the Rfam family "Bacterial small subunit ribosomal RNA", at positions 338 to 795 of the family's 1533-position model. Lineage: Bacteria; Pseudomonadati; Pseudomonadota; Gammaproteobacteria; Enterobacterales; Enterobacteriaceae. The record is from RNAcentral.
CCUACGGGAGGCUGCAGUGGGGAAUAUUGCACAAUGGGCGCAAGCCUGAUGCAGCCAUGCCGCGUGUGUGAAGAAGGCCUUCGGGUUGUAAAGCACUUUCAGCGGGGAGGAAGGCGGUGAGGUUAAUAACCUCAUCGAUUGACGUUACCCGCAGAAGAAGCACCGGCUAACUCCGUGCCAGCAGCCGCGGUAAUACGGAGGGUGCAAGCGUUAAUCGGAAUUACUGGGCGUAAAGCGCACGCAGGCGGUCUGUCAAGUCGGAUGUGAAAUCCCCGGGCUCAACCUGGGGACUGCAUUCGAAACUGGCAGGCUAGAGUCUUGUAGAGGGGGGUAGAAUUCCAGGUGUAGCGGUGAAAUGCGUGGAGAUCUGGAGGAAUACCGGUGGCGAAGGCGGCCCCCUGGACAAAGACUGACGCUCAGGUGCGAAAGCGUGGGGAGCAAACAGGAUUAGAUACCCGGGUAGUC